GAAAUGUGUUCGUAUGAUAAAUGGUACUUAGUUGAUUAAUUGUAGCCUAUCAAUUUUCAUUUCUCAUUAGCAUCCAUAUUCAAUAUCGUCUAUAUCUGUAGUCUCCAAAGCUCUUUCUUUCACCCUUUCUCACUUACGAUUUAUUUAAAUAGAACAGUUUAACUUGUUGCUUCUGAAGAUGUAGCCCUAAAUUAAGUAGUGAA
RNAcentral lists this unclassified non-coding RNA (203 nucleotides) under Hevea brasiliensis (rubber tree). The record is from RNAcentral. Lineage: Eukaryota; Viridiplantae; Streptophyta; Magnoliopsida; Malpighiales; Euphorbiaceae.